This 516-nucleotide ribosomal RNA is filed under the name uncultured microorganism. RNAcentral describes it as "bacterial SSU rRNA". It matches the Rfam family "Bacterial small subunit ribosomal RNA", at positions 9 to 524 of the family's 1533-position model. The record is from RNAcentral.
GAGUUUGAUCCUGGCUCAGGAUGAACGCUGGCGGCGUGCUUAACACAUGCAAGUCGAACGAAGCGCCUUAUUUGAUUUUCUUCGGAACUGAAGAUUUGGUGACUGAGUGGCGGACGGGUGAGUAACGCGUGGGUAACCUGCCCUGUACAGGGGGAUAACAAUCAGAAAUGACUGCUAAUACCGCAUAAGACCACAGCACCGCAUGGUGCAGGGGUAAAAACUCCGGUGGUACAGGAUGGACCCGCGUCUGAUUAGCUGGUUGGUGAGGUAACGGCUCACCAAGGCGACGAUCAGUAGCCGGCUUGAGAGAGUGAACGGCCACAUUGGGACUGAGACACGGCCCAAACUCCUACGGGAGGCAGCAGUGGGGAAUAUUGCACAAUGGGGGAAACCCUGAUGCAGCAACGCCGCGUGAGUGAAGAAGUAUUUCGGUAUGUAAAGCUCUAUCAGCAGGGAAGAAAGUGACGGUACCUGACUAAGAAGCCCCGGCUAACUCGUGCCAGCAGCCGCCGUAAG